GGAAAGUCUUACGGUGGAUAAAUAGGCACCAAGAGACUAGGAAGGGCAUAGUAAUUGACGAAAUGCUUCGGUGAGUUGAAAAUAAGCAUUUAUCCAGAAAUUCCCAAAUAGGUCAACCUUUCCAACUGCUGCUGAAUCCAUGGGCAAGCAUAAGACAACAUGGCGAACUGAAACAUUUUAGUAGCCAAAGAAAAAAAAAGCAAAAGCGAUUCUCGUAAUAGCGGCUAGCAAAAUGGUAGAAGCAUGAACAGUGAAAAUGGGGUUGUGGGAGAGCAAUACAAGCGUCGUUCUUCUAGGCGAAGUAGCCUUAAUGUUGCACCCUAGAUGGUGAAAGUCCACUAGCUGAAAUCAUAACUUGAUUACGCUAUUCACCUAGUAGCAUGGAGAACGUGGAAUUCCCUUUGAAUCAGGAAGGACCACCUUGCAAAGCUAAAUGCUCUUGAAUGACCGAGGGUAAAGUAGUACAGUGAGGGAAGGGUGAAAAGAACCCCCAUCGGGGAGUGAUAUAGAACAUGAAACUGUAAGAUCCCAAGCAGUGGGAGGAUCCAGGGAUCUGACCGCGUGCCUGUUGAAGAAUGAGACAGUGACUCAUAGGAAGUCGCUUGGUUAAGGGAACCUACCGGACCUGUAGUUAAAGCGAGUCUUCAUAGGGUAAUUUUAACUACUUAUGGACCCCAACCUGGGUGAUCUAUCCAUGACCAUGAGAAAGCUUGGGUGAAACUAAGUGGAGGUCCGAACUGAUUGAUGUUGAAAAAUCAGCGGAUUAGUUGUGGUUAGGGAUGAAAUGCCAUUCGAACCCAGAGCUAGAUGGUUUUCCCGAAAUGCAUUGAGGCGCAAUAGUUGACUUGACAUAUAGGGGUGAAGCACUGUUUCGGUGAAGGCUUCGAGAGCAUUAGCAAAUCGAGGCAAACUCUAAAUACUAGAUAUGACCUCAAAAUAACAAGGGUCAAGGUUGUCUAGAGAGAUUAUGGGGGAUAAGCUUCAUCGUUGAGAGGGAAAUAACCCGUAUAACCCGCUAAGGCCACUAAAUUACCACUCAUUGAUAAAGGAGGUAGGGGUGUAGAGGCAGCCAUAAGGUUUGCCUAGAAGAAUCCACCCUUGAACGAGUGCGUAAUAGAUCUCUGAUCGAGCUCUUUUGAGCCGAAGAUGAACGCGGUUAAGCGGUCUACCAAAGCCGUGGGAUUUAAAAAUACAUGAGUAGGGGAGAAUUCUGCCUUAGAGAGAAGCCUUCGCAUGAGUGUUGGUGGAUGAAACACAAGCGAUAAUGUUGGAUUGAGUAACACAAACAUUGGUGAGAAUACAAUGCCCCAAAAACCUAAUGGUUCCUCCGCAAGUUCAUCUACAGAGGGUGAGUAAGGGGCUAAAAUCAUGUUGAAAGGCGUAGUCGAUGAACAACAAGUGAAUAUUCCUGUACUAUUCGUUAUUAGUCCCGAGGGAUGGAGGAGGAUAGGUUAGUUGAAUGAUGGUUAUCGGUUCAAGAACGUAAGGUGUCCAUGCCUUUUCAGAUUAAGAAAGGGUAGAGAAAAUAUCUCAAGACACUGUUCGAAUACUAGGCACUACGACGCUGAAGUAACCCAUGCCAUACUCUAAGGAAAAGCUCAAAAUACGUUAAGUAAAAGGGUACAUGUACCCCAAAUCGACAUAGGUGGGUAGGUAUAGAAUACCUAGCAGGAUGAGAUAACUCACUCUAAGGAACUCGAUAAAAUAUCCCCGUAACAUCGAGAGAAUAGGUGCUCCUCACACAGGGGUUCUCAAUAACAAGACCCGAGUGACUGUUUACCAAAAACACAGGUCUCUGCAAAUUCAUAAGACCAUGUAUGGGGGAUGAGGCCUGGCCAGUGUAGGAAGGUCAUGGAAGUUGGUGACCUGGUGACAGGGGAGCCGGCGACCGAAGCGCUGGUGACGGCGGUUGUAACUAUAAUGGUCCUAAGGUAGCGAAAUUCCUUGUUGGGUAAGUUUCAAAACGCACAAAAGACGCAACUAUCUGGGAACUGUCUAAGAUAGAGGCUCAGUGAAAUCUAAAUGUAUGUGAACAUGAGUACUACCUACACCUUCAAUUAAAGACCCUAUGAAUUUUCACUGUUCCUUGGGAUUGGAUUUUGGCCUUUCAUGCGCUGCUUAGGUAGAAGGUAAAGAAGGCCUCCUACCUGGGGUCUUCAUCCAUUAGUGAUAUACCAUUCUUGAUGGGUUAGAUUGCUAACCUUGUGUCAGGACCUAUGGUCCAAGGGACUGUCUGAGGUAGACACUUUCUAUGAGGUGCAGGUGUCCCAAAAGGUAACGGAGGCGUGCAAAGGUUUUCUCGGUCCAGACGGAGAUUGGCCCUCGAAUGCAAAUGCAUAAUGGAGUUUGACUCCAAGACACAUCCGUCGAGAAGGGACGACACUCAUACAUAGUUAUCCAAUGGUGCCGAGUGGAAGGGAAAUCGCUCAAAGCAUAAAACUUACUCUAGGGAUAACACAAUGAUCUUCAUCUAGCUCUCAUAUCGAUGGGAAGGUUUGUCACAUCGAUGUCAACUCUUUGCCACCUGGGGCUGUAGUAUGUUCCAAGGUUUGGGUUCUUUGUACAUUAAAGUGAUAUGUGAGAUGGGUUCAGAAUGUUGUGAGACAGUUUGAUCCAUAUCCUAUGUGGUCGUUAGAGCAUUGAGAGGACCUUUCCCUAGUACGAGAGGACAAGGAAAGACACACUUCUGUACCAAUUACCGUGCCCACGGUAAAUGCCGGGUAGCCAAGUGCGAAGUUGAUAACUACUGAAAGCAUCUAAAUAGUAAGUGCACCCCAAGAUGAGUUCUCUCCUAUUUCGAAUUCUCCAAAGCUUCCGGUAGAGCAAUCGACAACGAAGAGUUCUUUGCCCCUACGGGGAUGGAGCGACAAAAGUUUUUUUAAGAAUAAAAAGGGAGGUCACAGGGAGACGAUCCGUUUAUAAUUAUGAUAUGUUUCAAGUGGAAGUGCAGUGUUUUAUGCAACUUAGGCAUCCGAACAGACCGAUAGACUUGAAU
This 2995-nucleotide ribosomal RNA is filed under the name Solanum habrochaites. Its description in RNAcentral is "bacterial LSU rRNA". It matches the Rfam family "Bacterial large subunit ribosomal RNA". The record is from RNAcentral. Lineage: Eukaryota; Viridiplantae; Streptophyta; Magnoliopsida; Solanales; Solanaceae.